GGCAGGGUUAGGCACACAGAGGCUGGGCCAGUUGAAACUCCACUAUAUUUACCCAAACCAAGGGGAGUGGAAGUGGGGGAUUAGUUACAACAACUUACAGCCUGUGCUCUUAUACAGCCCAGAGGAGGACAAAGGCCACUUCAGGAAGAGGAAACAAUACCACCAGGACGUGCAUGAGCCUUCCUGUCUUCCUGCUUAAAGUCGUCAUCACACCUCAUUCAGCCCUGACCCCUGGGGAUCAACGUGUGACCUCACCCACCGCUUCAAACCAGGGUCAGAGGUCAAUGUUUCAGCGGGCUGAAAGCGAGACUCUACAGAUGUCUGUCUUGUCGUCAUCAACUACCAGAGUUGAGAAGAAAGACAACACAUUGUUGUGUUCGGCUGGAAUCUUAAGGGAUUGAGGUUCGUUUAUAGGAUGGUACAUUUAUGCUGGCAUGGUAAUCGUCAUUGUAGCACAUGGGAGGGUGAGGUGGAGUGCCACUGGCAUCAUUUCCAAAGAUAGACACAGCAAGAAAUAAUAUUUCCAGAUUUUCCUAAUAUAAUGAUAAGAUAACGCAUAGCCGUGUACUCCUGGGGCUGUGUGUGUAUUCUCAGGCAUGUUGGGACAGGAACCAUACUCCCGCCACCUCUACCCUCUCUCUCUUUUCUACCUCCCCCCUCUCUCUCUCUCUCUCUCUCUCUCUCUCUCUCUCUCUCUCUCUCUCUCUCUCUCUCUCUCUCUCUCUCUCUCUCUCUCUCUCUCUCUCUCUCUCUCUCUCUCUCUCUCUCAUCUCCUGAGAAUGUCACGCUCAGCGCUCUCUCUAACCCCAGUGUGGAAACGUAAUUAAUCUGAUGAUGAUAAUUCUGCACCUCAUGUGGUAGAUGAGUGCUAAAUGCCCUUUCUCUUUCAUGUUUAUUUAUUCUCUCUCUCUCUCUCUCUCGCUCUCUCUGUGUUUCUUCUCAACGAUGAUCGGAGAAAACUUGCCAAGAAGAGGGAAGGAAGGAUGAGAGAAAGAAGAAAAGAAAUGAAAAGAGAGAGUGAAAUAGAGAUGGAGAGAGAGAGACAGAGAGAGACCAGCAGUGCAGCAGUCAUCUUCUUUAAUUAAAAGUAAUAAAUCGUUGAUUGCUCUCGUUGGUUCUGGCAAGAGGCUAACCUUUCUCUCUGGAACGACAUGACCCAGAUCUUCAGUACACCUCCCAGACCUCUGACAACCCUCCCUCCUUACCUUAUCCUCUCCUCCACCAUUGAAGUCCUGAGAAACGGUUUCGGCACACACACUCAAAGAAAUGCUGGGCUAAAAACAACCAAGAAAUGCUGGGUUAAAAACAACCCAGCGCCGGGUAAAUAGUGGACAGAAAACACGUUGGCUUAUUUUUGACCCGGUUGGGUCACUUAGUUGGGUUAUUGAGCUAUGAUACGCCGGGUCAGAUCAGAAGUCAGGAAGUGUGGCUUGGUAGGGGCGUGGCUUUCAGACAGUUCAUUUUGGUCACCCAUGAGAGUAAAUGUCAUUCUGUUUUGUUAUAUUGUCAAAAUAUGUUAAAGGUAUUGCACAGCCAUUCUGAUUCCCAUGUAAAAAAAUAUAUUAAAAAAGCCUUUAAAUGA
Oncorhynchus keta (chum salmon) is the source of this 1582-nucleotide long non-coding RNA. RefSeq lists it as uncharacterized. The record is from RefSeq and is a predicted model, not a curated record. NCBI's taxonomy places the organism in Eukaryota, Metazoa, Chordata, Actinopteri, Salmoniformes, Salmonidae. The transcript is spliced from 2 exons.